UAGUUGAUGAUGAUGAAACCACUAUGCAGUGUGAAUUCUGGGAACCAGGUGAUAGAGUGUGUUCUGAGAAGAAACUGAUGCAG
Molecule: small nucleolar RNA, 83 nt
Organism: Erinaceus europaeus (western European hedgehog)
Lineage: Eukaryota; Metazoa; Chordata; Mammalia; Eulipotyphla; Erinaceidae
Source: Ensembl